Molecule: ribosomal RNA, 123 nt
Filed under: agricultural soil bacterium CRS5654T18-1
Lineage: Bacteria
Description: partial 16S ribosomal RNA
Rfam family: Bacterial small subunit ribosomal RNA
Source: RNAcentral
UGGGCGAAAGCCUGAUCCAGCAACGCCGCGUGAGGGAUGACUGCCUUCGGGUUGUAAACCUCUUUCAGCAGGGACGAAGCGCAAGUGACGGUACCUGCAGAAGAAGCACCGGCCAACUACGUG